Molecule: transfer RNA, 83 nt
Filed under: bacterium
Lineage: Bacteria
Description: tRNA-Leu
Rfam family: tRNA
About the family: Transfer RNA (tRNA) molecules are approximately 80 nucleotides in length. Their secondary structure includes four short double-helical elements and three loops (D, anti-codon, and T loops).
Source: RNAcentral
GGCUUUGUGGCGGAAUUGGUAGACGCUGUGGAUUUAAAAUCCAUUGACCCUAGGUCGUGAGGGUUCGAUCCCCUCCAAAGCUA